RNAcentral lists this unclassified non-coding RNA (156 nucleotides) under uncultured Ascomycota. Its description in RNAcentral is "sequence contains ITS2". Lineage: Eukaryota; Fungi; Ascomycota. The record is from RNAcentral.
CAACCCUCAAGCUUUAGCUUGGUGUUGGGUGAGGUCCCCUUCUAGGACCCUCCCGUAACCCGUAGGCGGUCAUCAUCCGUACUCCUCUAGCGUAGCAGGCUUAUGGCACUCGCUAGGGGAUGGGGUGAAGACCAUGCCUUUAUAACCUUUUCAAAG